Molecule: ribosomal RNA, 885 nt
Filed under: Ceriantheomorphe brasiliensis
Lineage: Eukaryota; Metazoa; Cnidaria; Anthozoa; Spirularia; Cerianthidae
Description: mitochondrial SSU rRNA
Rfam family: Bacterial small subunit ribosomal RNA
Source: RNAcentral
UGAAACAAGGGGAAGGUUCAUGGGAGGCUGCAGUAGAGAAUAUUAUGCAAUAUACAAAAGUAUGACAUAAAGCACAAACAUAAGGCCUGUCAAAUUAAGUGCCAGCAGUCGCGGUUAAACUUAAAAUGUGGCAAAGUUUUGAUUGUAAAGGCGUAGAGCGUGUGUAUGCAAGAAUAUUAAUAUAUCAUAAAAAAAAUAUAUUUACCCUGCUAGAGAUAUUUAUAAGAAGUUAAUUAAUAUAUCAUAAAAGAGAAAAAUAAAAUAUAUUUGUAGCGGUUGAAUGCGAAAAUAAAUAUUAGAAUUAAAAAAUAACUAAAUUUUUCAUAAGGUAACUAGCUGAAACACUAAAGUGUGGAUAGUAAAUGGGGUUGGUGUCCCAGUAGCCCAUACUGUAAACAAUGAAAUUAGGUAUAAGUACCUGUUUAAUCAAAAUUUCGCCCGAGUAGUACGAUCGCAAGAUUAAAAUUCAAAAAAUUUGGCUGUUCCCUAUUUGAUUAGAGGAGCGUGUGGUUUAAUUCGAUGGUCCGCGAAACACCUUACCUCAUUUUGAAUCCAGGCAAGAGGACAAGUAUUGCAUGGCCGUCGUCAGUUUGUGUGUCAAACUAUUUAAUAACAGACCCAACCCAUAUCUUGUGGACGAAGUCAGGUAUUAUGGUCUUUAUAGUGAGGGAUACCAUUCGCUACAUUGUCUGUGACAACGAAUAAGUAAUUAGAGUUCGGAAGUAGCUGGGAGAAGAUUACGGAAGCCGGAUUUAAUAGUAAUCAGAAAGUAGAGCGUUCUGGUGAACUUUUUAGUGUUAGUACAAAUUGCCCGUCACCUUCGCCUAAUAAGUGUUUGAAAGUGUAAUUUCACAACAAACAUUACAAGGGAGUAAGUCGUAACAU